UAACACAUGCAAGUCGAACGGAAACGAUGGGAGCUUGCUCCCAGGCGUCGAGUGGCGGACGGGUGAGUAACGCGUAGGAAUCUGCCUGGUAGUUGGGGAUAACUCAGGGAAACUUGAGCUAAUACCGAAUACGCUCUACGGAGGAAAGCGGGGGAUCUUCGGACCUCGCGCUAUCAGAUGAGCCUGCGUGAGAUUAGCUAGUUGGUGGGGUAAAGGCCUACCAAGGCGACGAUCUCUAGCUGGUCUGAGAGGACGAUC
This 258-nucleotide ribosomal RNA is filed under the name Gammaproteobacteria bacterium. RNAcentral's name for it is "partial 16S ribosomal RNA". It matches the Rfam family "Bacterial small subunit ribosomal RNA", at positions 49 to 305 of the family's 1533-position model. Lineage: Bacteria; Pseudomonadati; Pseudomonadota; Gammaproteobacteria. The record is from RNAcentral.